This 85-nucleotide transfer RNA is filed under the name Felis catus (domestic cat). It matches the Rfam family "tRNA". Rfam says of the family: Transfer RNA (tRNA) molecules are approximately 80 nucleotides in length. Their secondary structure includes four short double-helical elements and three loops (D, anti-codon, and T loops). Lineage: Eukaryota; Metazoa; Chordata; Mammalia; Carnivora; Felidae. The record is from Rfam by way of RNAcentral.
ACCUGGGUGGCUCAGUCGGUUGAGCGCCUGACUUUGGCUCAGGUCAUGAUCUCGCAGUCUGUGAGAUCGAGCCCCACAUCAGGCU